RNAcentral lists this ribosomal RNA (548 nucleotides) under uncultured bacterium. RNAcentral describes it as "partial 16S ribosomal RNA". It matches the Rfam family "Bacterial small subunit ribosomal RNA", at positions 356 to 895 of the family's 1533-position model. The record is from RNAcentral.
AGGGAAUCUUCCACAAUGGACGCAAGUCUGAUGGAGCAACGCCGCGUGAGUGAAGAAGGUCUUCGGAUCGUAAAGCUCUGUUGUUGGUGAAGAAGGAUAGAGGCAGUAACUGGUCUUUAUUUGACGGUAAUCAACCAGAAAGUCACGGCUAACUACGUGCCAGCAGCCGCGGUAAUACGUAGGUGGCAAGCGUUGUCCGGAUUUAUUGGGCGUAAAGCGAGCGCAGGCGGAAUGAUAAGUCUGAUGUGAAAGCCCACGGCUCAACCGUGGAACUGCAUCGGAAACUGUCAUUCUUGAGUGCAGAAGAGGAGAGUGGAACUCCAUGUGUAGCGGUGGAAUGCGUAGAUAUAUGGAAGAACACCAGUGGCGAAGGCGGCUCUCUGGUCUGCAACUGACGCUGAGGCUCGAAAGCAUGGGUAGCGAACAGGAUUAGAUACCCUGGUAGUCCAUGCCGUAAACGAUGAGCGCUAGGUGUUGGGGACUUUCCGGUCCUCAGUGCCGCAGCAAACGCAUUAAGCGCUCCGCCUGGGGAGUACGACCGCAAGGUU